GCUACAAGUGGAGGGUGAUUGCCUCGUGGUCUGUUGUCUGCGAAAACUUCUGCGAGCAGGCAAGCUGAGUCUCCCGCAUGCCCGUGCGCCUUGCAACUUGCGAAUUGACACGCUAAUUUUCCCCCACUCCUGCAUAUGCGAGAUGACUGUGCACAGCAAAGUUGGUACCUUAGAUCUGUGUGUCCACAUGCUAACACCAGCCCGCAGAUAAGGAAACUUUCUGUCCUCCACAGGUUGCAUUUGGUUUUUUCUUUUUAAUUUACAUAUUCAUUUUCACAAGAAUUUUAACUCAAUGCAAAUACAACUAAAAAUAAAUUAAAAU
This 322-nucleotide long non-coding RNA is filed under the name Carica papaya (papaya). RNAcentral's name for it is "long non-coding RNA (CPAP_LNC015894)". Lineage: Eukaryota; Viridiplantae; Streptophyta; Magnoliopsida; Brassicales; Caricaceae. The record is from RNAcentral.